Long non-coding RNA from Pelodiscus sinensis (Chinese soft-shelled turtle), 1077 nucleotides. RefSeq lists it as uncharacterized. Lineage: Eukaryota; Metazoa; Chordata; Testudines; Trionychidae. The record is from RefSeq and is a predicted model, not a curated record.
UGAAUAGUCUUUCUUUUGUUCUUGGUGCAAAACUUUCCUUUCAGUAGUGAUGAUUAGGGCCAUCUUGCUGGUGCCCAAUGCAUCUUGGGGAGAAGGCACAAAGGUAGCUGUAAACUACCCUUUCAACUCUGUGAUCCUCAUAUCACUAGGCUCAUCAAGGCAGUUGGUUGUAAUGCCACUAAUGGUAAAAAGCUUGUUGCAGAGGAAGAUACUGUAAGUUACCAGCACCUUAGGCAUCAUUAAUGUGCCUACAUCAUAGAUGGUAGAUACCUACAUCAUAGUGGCACAUUAGAGUUUUUCAGUAUGUCACCAGGUACUCACUGUUGGAUCAGGAAGACCUGCCUACCACAGAUAUGUCCUAGUGGUAAGGCAGUAACGUAAUGAAGCAGCACAUGCCCUGCCCUGGAAGGGACCCCCACUUCGUGCAGCAGCUCUGAAGACUGAAAUCUUGCAGCUGCGGUGGUGACUCAAUCGCUGAUUAUUUAAGUACAGAGUUUUCAGCAGAGAAUGAAGUCUGAUAGUCAGUACCUUGAAGGCAGUAAGUCUCGCCAUAUGGCAGCAAAAUAAAUGGAUAAAGACUUCAGCAGAGACGGAGGAUGCAGAGAUGUCACACAGCACAGAUUAGAACAGUCGUUUUGUAAAUGUCUCACAGAAUAAUUGCACAAGCAAGUAGCCUGCAUACUAAAUCCAGCAUUCACAGACCCACCCCUGAACAGUGAUUUUAAGUGAAGAAAAACAAAACUUAUUUGAGUUAAGGACCCGAGCAACACCAGGGGGUUCUCUCCAUUUCCUGACUGAUGGCCACAUUGUGCCCUCACAGAUCCAAGCAUGGGCACUCUCCACCCCAAGAAGGUAGCAUCCCUUCUAAAGACAAGCGCAUCACACAUCUCUGCAGCACGUUCACCCACUGAGCCUUGUAGAGCCCUUUGUAGGUUUGGUAUCUGUGCGGUGACCAAUGCAUGAGAUAAUUGUUGACAUAAAGCCGCCAUAAACCGUUGCUGACGACCUGUGGGAUUAAUGGACUGAGGAAGAGAUGGCAAAGUAUUAGUUUUUUUCCACAGUCUGGAUUACAGUUUG